CUCCAUAAGCGGAGGAAAAGAAACUAACUAGGAUUCCCUUAGUAACGGCGAGUGAACCGGGAUGAGCUCAAAUUUAAAAUCUGGCGUCUUUCAGGCGUCCGAGUUGUAAUCUAUAGAGGCGUUUUCCGCGCCGGACCGCGUCCAAGUCCCUUGGAAUAGGGUAUCAAAGAGGGUGACAAUCCCGUACUUGACGCGACAACCGGUGCUCUGUGAUACGUUCUCAACGAGUCGAGUUGUUUGGGAAUGCAGCUCUAAAUGGGUGGUAAAUUCCAUCUAAGGCUAAAUAUUGGCGAGAGACCGAUAGCGAACAAGUACCGUGAGGGAAAGAUGAAAAGCACUUUGGAAAGAGAGUUAAACAGCACGUGAAAUUGUUAAAAGGGAAACGAUUGAAGUCAGUCGUGUGAGGGGUAUUCAGCCGUCUCUGGCGGUGUAUUUGCCUCUCACGGGUCAACAUCAGUUUGAUUCGGUAGAAAAAGGCGGGAGGAAGGUGGCACCCUCGGGUGUGUUAUAGCCUCCUGUCAUAUGUGCCGGACCAGACUGAGGAACGCAGCUUGCAGCAAUGCCGGGGUUCGCCCACGUACAAGCUUAGGAUGUGACAUAAUGGCUUUAAACGACCCGUCUGAAACACGGGG
Molecule: ribosomal RNA, 632 nt
Filed under: Cryptococcus sp. BI223
Lineage: Eukaryota; Fungi; Basidiomycota; Tremellomycetes; Tremellales; Cryptococcaceae
Description: eukaryotic LSU rRNA
Rfam family: Eukaryotic large subunit ribosomal RNA
Source: RNAcentral